Molecule: ribosomal RNA, 460 nt
Filed under: uncultured bacterium
Lineage: Bacteria
Description: partial 16S ribosomal RNA
Rfam family: Bacterial small subunit ribosomal RNA
Source: RNAcentral
CCUACGGGAGGCUGCAGUGAGGAAUAUUGGUCAAUGGGCGCGAGCCUGAUCCAGCCACGUAGCGUGAAGGAUGACUGCCCUACGGGUUGUAAACUUCUUUUAUAAAGGAAUAAAGUGAGGCACGUGUGCCUUUUUGUAUGUACUUUAUGAAUAAGGAUCGGCUAACUCCGUGCCAGCAGCCGCGGUAAUACGGAGGAUCCGAGCGUUAUCCGGAUUUAUUGGGUUUAAAGGGAGCGUAGAUGGGUUGUUAAGUCAGUUGUGAAAGUUUGCGGCUCAACCGUAAAAUUGCAAUUGAUACUGGCAGCCUUGAGUACAGGUGAGGAAGGCGGAAUUCGUGGUGUAGCGGUGAAAUGCUCAGAGAUCACGAAGAACUCCGAUUGCGAAGGCAGCUUACUAAACUGUCACUGACAUUGAUGCUCGAAAGUGUGGGUAUCAAACAGGAUUAGAUACCCGUGUAGUC